AAAAGGAGAUGGAUGUGACUAUUAUAUAGCAAAAGGUUGUAACGCCAGUGACAGCUAUUGCUUAGCGCAAAAUUACAAAAUUGCGUACAGUUCACACUAGUUUGUCGCUUUUUCCUUAUAUUGGGGAUGUUCCAAAUUUGGCUUCACAAGCGUUAUUUGGCGAGAUGGCUGGCAAAAAGUCUUUCUCCACCGAGCAGUAGACCCCACAUAUUAGAUAUUGGGGAAAAAACUGGAAACCUCUGUUUUUCUCCCACCCCCACCUCAGUCUGCUUCUGUUUGUUCCUGGUGUUCCUAACUUGACAUGGAUGCCAUGUCACACAAAACCACCUAACAGGGAAUGAGGUGGCAAAAUAAAAAAAAAGGGCAGCCCGGUGCAUGUAGCUCCCGCUUGCGCAGGGUCGGGGAAGGGUCCGACCACUUUGGGUCUAUAGUACGCAGCCUUUCCCUACAUUUCUGUAAGAGGCUGUUUCCAGAAUGAGGUGGCAAAAUACUUUGACAUAAAUGCCACACCACAUCAAAUACUUCCCUGGGAUAUAAUCAGAAAAAGUUCAUAUCUGAGGGUGCACAUUACAUAGUUUUGGAGUCUGCGGUGCAAAUUAAACUGAGGCAAUAAUAGUUGAGGCACCAAAGUAGACUUUUCCUUAGGGUUUCCAUCUUAAAAUUUGAAGGUUAAACCCUACAACUAUUUAGUAACUACUACUCUUUUACUUUUUACUUAAUUAUAAAAACUUCUAUCUGAUGCUUUAUUUCAUAGAGAUCAUAUCAAUGAUUAUAAAGGUUAGCUGAAAAGUAAUAUUCAAAUUCACCUCCCUAUAUUUGUUAUCAUCCCACCAUGCCCAACCAAGAAGUACUAGCCUAAGAGAAAUGACCGAUACAUGCCCCUAUAAAAUGACUUGCUACGACCACUUAAGCUCUUCCAAAACACUAAAAGUAGAAAUAGAGUGGAAACAUUGCAUUUGAAUACACUCAUGAUUAUCUCCAUGGACAAGUGUUUAGAAAAGAAGAUGCUUGAAUCAUGUAAUGGUUACAGUGAAACAAAGGGAGUGCUCAAGUAUCUGAACUAUUGUCUCGAUUGUGGUGCCUAUCCUGAGCGUAUAGAUUAUCUCCAGUGACAAAAUAAGGGUGAGCUGCAGUGCCAUAGGCAAUCAAAGUGGACCCACUGGUAAGUUUCCCACUACUAGUGGAUAGUGUUAGCUUGACACUGUAAGAUCAGGCAUGGCAUACUUUUGUAUGGUCCCCUAAGCAUACCUUGAGGCAUGCAGCCAUGCACACUGGAAAGAUCCUUGACCGACUUAGUAUAUACGCUUACCCUGGUGUUAAUUAAAUGCAGCAAUCUAUAUACUCAUGUAGUAGUGGACGGUGAUAGGUGGGAGCCAAGAGCUCUUCUCAGAUCAAGCCCAACCUGCAUCCAUGAGUUUGUCUUUUAGAGUAAGUUGGUGAGACUGUACACAAGUUGGUUUCCAGUAUGUGGAUUACUGAUUGUGUGACAGUUCCAACACUAAACAAUAUGUUGUUUGUACUUUGUACUACAGAAUCGCCAUAUCACUACAAACAUGAGCCAAACACUCAUGGAUAUAACUCCUAUUAGCUACAAGACUUUACCUACCUACAUUUUAUCAUUUAUAGUGAUGUCGGGCAGGUGUGUGGGUAUCAGAUCAGACACAUAUACCAGUCAUACUUCUCUCAUGUCAAAAAGUUGGGAAGUUAUUUACACAUGUCUGGCAAGUUGAUAUAUCUACUCAUCAACAUUUCCUUAAGCACGGUGGUACCCUGAAACACUGUGAGCUAAAAUGGUACAGUACAAUUCCAUGUGCUUGCUUACAUAUUUUUGCAAGGCAUAAGAAGCAGCGAUAAAAGUUUCUCUGGCCGACCUUGAAGAAUCAAUUUGACAGUUGUCUGCAAAAUGGUUUCUGUGUGUGU
Molecule: long non-coding RNA, 1920 nt
Filed under: Triticum aestivum (bread wheat)
Lineage: Eukaryota; Viridiplantae; Streptophyta; Magnoliopsida; Poales; Poaceae
Description: long non-coding RNA (TAES_LNC016633)
Source: RNAcentral